RNAcentral lists this unclassified non-coding RNA (351 nucleotides) under soil metagenome. RNAcentral describes it as "partial contains 5.8S ribosomal RNA, internal transcribed spacer 2, and large subunit ribosomal RNA". The stretch from base 2 to 121 matches the Rfam family "5.8S ribosomal RNA", at positions 35 to 154 of the family's 154-position model. The record is from RNAcentral.
GGAUGAAGAACGUAGCGAAAUGCGAUAACUAAUGUGAAUUGCAGAAUUCCGUGAAUCAUCGAAUCUUUGAACGCACAUUGCGCCCUCUGGUAUUCCGGGGGGCAUGCCUGUUCGAGCGUCAUUGCAACCCCUCAAGCACAGCUUGUGUGUUGGGCUCUCGUUCCCCGUGGACGGGCCUGAAAUGCAGUGGCAGCACCGAGAUACCGGUGUCUGAGUGUAUGGGCAUUGAUCAUCACUCGAUAGACCCGAUCGGCGCUGACCGUCAAACUACGAUUUCUCGGAAUCAUCCAGUUUUGACCUCGGAUCAGGUAGGAAUACCCGCUGAACUUAAGCAUAUCAAUAAGCGGAGGA